GCUGAAUUUCAGAGCAAUUUGCCCUCCCCGGUCCACAAGCCCAAUCUAAAGCUGCCUGCAUUGUUCUCUUAUCAACCCCAUCCAUUGCUAUGCAAUACGUUUGGUUAGUGGUGUCAUUAGCCAAGAAUGUACCACUUCCAGACACAUGAAGCAGGUAAACAGGCGUUGAAUUCCCAUGGAAUAGCCCCCAAUUUGCCUCGGACAAUGGGGGUGACCUCAAAUCCUCAUUGAAUAACUCAUAUAUGUA
Molecule: unclassified non-coding RNA, 247 nt
Filed under: Hevea brasiliensis (rubber tree)
Lineage: Eukaryota; Viridiplantae; Streptophyta; Magnoliopsida; Malpighiales; Euphorbiaceae
Source: RNAcentral